This 477-nucleotide ribosomal RNA is filed under the name uncultured organism. RNAcentral describes it as "partial 16S ribosomal RNA". It matches the Rfam family "Bacterial small subunit ribosomal RNA", at positions 331 to 799 of the family's 1533-position model. The record is from RNAcentral.
GUACACUCCUGCGGGAGGCAGCAGUGGGGAAUUUUGGACAAUGGGCGAAAGCCUGAUCCAGCAAUGCCGCGUGUGUGAAGAAGGCCUUCGGGUUGUAAAGCACUUUUGUCCGGAAAGAAAUCCUUGGCUCUAAUACAGUCGGGGGAUGACGGUACCGGAAGAAUAAGCACCGGCUAACUACGUGCCAGCAGCCGCGGUAAUACGUAGGGUGCGAGCGUUAAUCGGAAUUACUGGGCGUAAAGCGUGCGCAGGCGGUUUGCUAAGACCGAUGUGAAAUCCCCGGGCUCAACCUGGGAACUGCAUUGGUGACUGGCAGGCUAGAGUAUGGCAGAGGGGGGUAGAAUUCCACGUGUAGCAGUGAAAUGCGUAGAGAUGUGGAGGAAUACCGAUGGCGAAGGCAGCCCCCUGGGCCAAUACUGACGCUCAUGCACGAAAGCGUGGGGAGCAAACAGGAUUAGAAACCCGAGUAGUCCCAUG